UUGCCAUACAUAGACUUUAUUGUGUUGAUAAACAAGAAAGUUCAUGUAUGGCAA
Molecule: microRNA precursor, 54 nt
Organism: Chlorocebus sabaeus (green monkey)
Lineage: Eukaryota; Metazoa; Chordata; Mammalia; Primates; Cercopithecidae
Source: Ensembl